This 253-nucleotide ribosomal RNA is filed under the name uncultured bacterium. RNAcentral's name for it is "partial 16S ribosomal RNA". It matches the Rfam family "Bacterial small subunit ribosomal RNA", at positions 524 to 776 of the family's 1533-position model. The record is from RNAcentral.
UACGUAGGGGGCAAGCGUUGUCCGGAUUUAUUGGGCGUAAAGAGCGUGUAGGCGGCCGUACAGGUCAGCUGUGAAAACUCGAGGCUCAACCUCGAGACGUCGGUUGAAACCGUACGGCUAGAGUCCGGAAGAGGAGAGUGGAAUUCCCGGUGUAGCGGUGAAAUGCGUAGAUAUCGUAAGGAAGACCAGUGGCGAAGGCGGGUCUCUGGACAGUUCCUGACGCUGAGGCACGAAGGUCAGGGGAGCAAACGGG